GAGCCGUGCGGUGAACGCACAGCGAACUAUUCUUUCGCCUUUUACUAAAGAAUACCGUGUGUUCGCCGUUUUAAGGCGGCAUACGCCUAUUUUUGGAGGGACCUUUUCUCGGGAUUG
This is a non-coding RNA of Cucumis melo (muskmelon), 117 nucleotides long. Lineage: Eukaryota; Viridiplantae; Streptophyta; Magnoliopsida; Cucurbitales; Cucurbitaceae. The record is from Rfam.